AGUGAACGCUGGCGGUAGGCCUAACACAUGCAAGUCGAACGGCAGCACAGUAAGAGCUUGCUCUUACGGGUGGCGAGUGGCGGACGGGUGAGGAAUACAUCGGAAUCUACUUUUUCGUGGGGGAUAACGUAGGGAAACUUACGCUAAUACCGCAUACGACCUACGGGUGAAAGCAGGGGAUCUUCGGACCUUGCGCGAUUGAAUGAGCCGAUGUCGGAUUAGCUAGUUGGCGGGGUAAAGGCCCACCAAGGCGACGAUCCGUAGCUGGUCUGAGAGGAUGAUCAGCCACACUGGAACUGAAACACGGUCCAGACUACUACGGGAGGCAGCAGUGGGGAAUAGUGGACAAUGGGCGCAAGCCUGAUCCAGCCAUACCGCGUGGGUGAAGAAGGCCUUCGGGUUGUAAAUCCCUUUUGUUGGGAAAGAAAAGCAGCAGGUUAAUACCCCGCUGUUCUGACGGUACCCAAAGAAUAAGCACCGGCUAACUUCGUG
Molecule: ribosomal RNA, 492 nt
Filed under: uncultured bacterium
Lineage: Bacteria
Description: partial 16S ribosomal RNA
Rfam family: Bacterial small subunit ribosomal RNA
Source: RNAcentral